Melospiza melodia melodia is the source of this 5100-nucleotide long non-coding RNA. RefSeq lists it as uncharacterized. The record is from RefSeq and is a predicted model, not a curated record. The transcript has 3 exons. Lineage: Eukaryota; Metazoa; Chordata; Aves; Passeriformes; Passerellidae.
CCGGCAGCGAGCGCGGGGUUCGGCCGCUCCAAGUUCGGCGGUGCCGUGGCUCGGAGGCGCUUUGGAGGCGUUGAUGGCAUCGCUGGGUUCGGUUUGCAGCGGGUGUCCGCUAAGGGAUAUGGUGUUCUUCCUGAGCGGCACGGUUCUCGGUGCCGGUAGAGAUGAUAAAGGGUACUCACAAAAUAUGUCUCCCUUAGUGUCCCACAGAAACAUUCUGGGUGCAAUCUGAAUUAAGGUAUGUGUUUUCAAAUAAGUAAUCAGUUUAGAUAUUUGCCUGUGUACCUUUUCCUGUAAUUCAGAGCUUGUGUUCUGUGGGUUUUAUGAUAAACCUGUAAAACAUGUAAGAAUGGUUUUGCAAGUCUGAAUCGUUGAAGGCAGCAAUAAGUGGAUUUAAAGCCUGUUCUUGAGCAGACAAAGGGGAAAAGUGUGACUCUGAUGCUGAACUUGUCAUUUUUCAUUUGACUUGCCUUUAAUUAUUGAAGAAGAGAGAGAACUAGGAAAAGAAAUAGAAUUGAUUAUUGAGCACUCCUAAAAAGCUCACCAUGAUUCUGUGUAGAGCCAAAGUGAAGGAUGAUGGAACAGAGCUCUGUGCAUUAGAAGGAAAUAAACCUGAUGUCCACACAGAGUCUUACUAAUUUCUGUUUUUAAAAUGCAAAAUAAGUUUAGGAAGUGUUGGAAGUUAGUAUUUUGGGAAAGAAAUGGCAGUUCCACAAAACAUUCCAUUCCAUUUAAGAGAGGCCCUUGGACUGAUUCAUGUUGUAACUGCUGUCACUGCAAUCAGUUGGUGGUUCAGCCUUGAAACGUGCACUUGGCCUUCUAUAAAGCACUGUUUUGUUUGCCUUUCAGUGCUAUGAGUCUUGAUAAAUUGGAGAAGUGCCCAAGAGAAAUUCAUCAUCCUGAGAUACAAAAGGUAGGAAGUGACUUUUUCUGGUUUGGUUCUUUUUCUUUAUUGUUUUCUGGAAAUAGAAGUAAUUAAGUAUAGAUACUACUGGUUUGUUUCUUCCAGUAGCUGAUAAUACUAAUACCAAUAAUAAUAAUAAUAAUAAUAGUAAAGUAAUACUACUUCAACUGUCUUUAUUUAUCCAUUGAACUGGCCAUUUUAAAUCUAAACUUCUAAACACAAAUCAAACCAUCAUCCUUGUAGAAUCUUUAAUAGGAGUGGGCUAAAGAUCCUGGUUUUGUUGACAGGAUUUAUUGGUUCAUGAACAGCAAGAGGUAAGUACAAGCCUAACUACCCUCUAGCUCACAGACCUGCCCGGUGAAUAGAGCUUUGUUUUUUUGAUGGGCUUGUGAUGACUUUGAGAUCAAUUGCUCAUUCAUUACAGUAAAAAAAAAAAAAUUGUUUUGAACAUGACAGCAAAAAUAACUUUAAGCACAACUUAAUAAUAAUAAUAGAUCACCAAUUUUAGUUAAUAAUUUUAUGCUAUACUCUUGGGUGAGGGAAGACUCGGACACUCAAUAUGAGAUCAGCAAGCUAUGUUUAUUGCAGAGAGUAUCAGACACUUAUACAGCACAUAAUAAGCUUAUGAAUAUUCUGUAAGCCAAGCGAUCUAUUGGUUAAACUAUACCAUCAACUCUUCCUCAUUCCUUUGGGCCUACAUUCCCUAUUUCCCACGUCUCUCUGUCUACUUGUUAUCCUACCCAGCUAGGCCCAGGCACACGCUAUCUUGCAGGUGCAAAACUCAAAAAUACCUGUGUUCGGUACUUUCCCAGCUCCUGGUCGGCUAACGAGCGAAUGUCUGCGUGACCUCUGUCAUGGAGCCAUUUCUCCACACUAUACUAUCAAAGUUUAAAGGUAAAUUAUUAUAUAUUAGGAGAUGGUGUAAAGUGUAUGUUGUAAUGUGUAGGAUAUAUACAAAGAUACGUACUUGAAAGUCCGUAGAGGAAACAAAUUUUUACGCCUUCUGUUUGACUGUUUGUCAUAUAUUUGGUUUUAUUUCCCAGGGAUCAGUGAAUUUUAACUCUGGAGUCCUCUAUGCUAAGGAUGCUCAGCUUAGAGAUGAUGAAAUGUUCAGUAAUGGUGAGUUUUUCACCUUCUCCUUCAUUGUUUUGCUCAUCUGAAUAAAAAAAAAAAAAAAAAGGCAAGAUUAAAGAAAAAGCAAUAGUUUUAUUAUUUUUACCCUGUUAUGUCUGUUUCCUCAGUAUUUGCUGCAGCUCUGCUUACCCAAGGUUUGGGUAAAACAAGCUUUGGGUUCCCUCUGUCUCACUGGGAGUUGCCCAAUUCAGUUGCAUCUGGUGAAAUUCACCCUGAGACCUUACAGAACCAGCUCCAACUACGUGAGAGCCAUUUGCAGUUCUCUCCAGACACCUGGAGAAUGGGCGACAUUUCUGAGAAUCCGGCGAGCGUGCUUCUAUCAAAACUCAGUCUGUGAAAUUCCUGGGGAAAACCCUUCUGUGUCCUGAAGGGUUCAAACUCUGGUGAGGAUCCAGUUAUCAGGUGCUCACCUGGAUGGUUCCAGCUCUUAAAGUGAACACUUGUACUCUUGCCCUGUAGUUUACAUCUAUUGUAUUUUUGUUAUUUUGCAGGAUUUUUUGUCUUUGCAAAAUAUUGUGCAUUUCACUCUUUGGAACCUCUCAGAUGGUUCUUUGGUGCAGCACCACCCCAGGGGACACUUGCCUGCUGUCCUGAAGGGGUUGGUGGCUAGAAUUGUGAAUCCUGGAGAGUUUAUAAGUCUUCUGUCCCCAGGGAGGUGUCGUGCUUUGUUUACUUUUGUUCUGUUGGUUAGGCGCUGCUUCUCGUUGCAAGUACGAAUUUCAAACUGCCCUGUUCUUAUUUUAACUGUUUUCCUGGUUCUCUCCCUACGGCAGGGAAAGACUCUCGUAUCCUUGUCAUCGGGCUCGGUGCUGUCCAAGAAGAUACAGAGACUAAAAAAAUCAUAAGAAGCAAAAUAUGACUGCAGGGAAAAGAAGCUGGAGAGAACAGAAGAGCCCUGUUGUACUAAUCAUCAUACAAGUACAAAACAAAAAAUCAGACCCUGUCCCAAGCACUUAGAGGCCAGAACACGAUUUCCUCGGGCUGCCGUUUGUGUGCCAUCGGUACUCACCACGAAUUGAGCCCUCUGGCUCUGACAGAGCCCCUGGAUGCUGACGGAAGGGGGCUGGUCACAGACCCUGGAGGUGCCUGUCCCCCAGGGAGGGAGAGGACGAGGCAGUGUGGCCUGCAGGGAGGGUGUCGUCCCCAGAGAGCAGCCGGCGACUCCAUGCCUGCCCGGGGCUGCGGGUGCCCCCUCGGGGUGGACGCCUGCCCUCAGGUUUCCCUCUGGGCACCCGGGGAGGGAACCAGGUCCAUCCGUGUGGCAGCUGCAGGGCCUGCAGGCUCUGGGCCCUGGAGCCGAGUGAGCCUGAGCUGCUGCAUGCUUGCUGUGAGCUUUGGGGUGAGCGUGCAUCACUGCAGGCCUGGGAUGGAUUGAAAUGCGCUGAGGAAAGCAGAGGGAGGGAGGGAAAUGCUCUGUUAACAUGUGCCAAUUCUUCUGUCAGACUCAUCACGGCGGGACAGCGUGAGGACUGAAAGUGUAAGAAGAUGUGGAGGGAAACAGAGAAUCUGACAGGAGCAUCGGAGGGACGAGUGCAGGAAUUUUGCUUUUUGCUUGGAUGUAAACUCAGGAGUUGAGAGGAAUUUGGGAGUGAGAAGGGACAUCUCAGAAGGAGAAGAAGAAAAAGAGGUUGUUGUUGUUGUUACAGUCCUGGCAAAAUCUUUUGUUCUAGCUAAUAAAAGAAGUUAGUUUAAAAAACAAAAAGGAAAAAAUGUAGUGUUUUUUUUUUCCUUCACUAUGAUAUUCAUUGGUGGUAUAUGGUGUGUUGUUUCAUUUCUUGGUAUUAUUAACUCUGUGUAAAUUGUUUUUUGAGUGAAGCUGACUUUCUGGAUGGGUUGGUUUGUAUUUGAGGCAGGAUUAAUUUCAGUAGGGUUCUUUCAUAGAUUUCUGAUGGGUAUUACUGGGAUUUUGGUUUUGUUUACUGUAUGUAUGAACCUAGAGCUUUGGUAGGGCCAGCUGGGCUGCUGGAGUUUUGGGUGUGAAUUUAUUAGAUGGCUUUUGUUAGAUGCAGUUUUUAAUUUUUGAAAUGUUUUUCAAUGUAGUGGUUUUAAGGUGGUUUUUAAGAAUUCAUUGUAUUGCUUUAUCUUGUUUGUAGUUGGUGUAUGAUAAGGGAUGUGGUGUGAGUUCUUGAACAUUAUGGUUUUGGUGUUCCUAAGUUCUGAUUUCUUUGUGGUUCAAUAGCUUUUUUUAUUUUUAUUUUUUGGGACAGGGGCAUUUAUAUGGUGGGUUUUUAUAGGCAAUAUGUUUUUUAAUUUAGGUAGUGAUAUUUUUUAAUAUUUUAAUAGUUUAGGUUUUUUAUUUUCAUGGUUUUAAUUAUUUUUUUUAAUUUUUUGAAAUAACUUUUAUAGAUUACAUGUUAUUAUUUGUGCAUUAACAUAAAGGUAGAGCUUUGGGGACUUUUUUUAGUAAUGUUUAGGGUCAGUUGUGCAGUUUUGAGUCUAGUGCGUUGGUUUGAUUUAAUUUUUAAUGGGUGUUUGUUUUUAUUAGCAGUUGUGUCAUUUUCAAGGUGUGUUUGAGUUUUUUGGGGUUUUUGAGAUACUGGUUUAGGAGGAAGUUUAUGAUGAGCAUGUGCGGAGGUUUUGGGCUACUUUAUAGUGGGAUUUAAAAUUUAUUUACAGUUAGGUUUAUUUGAGUUUUUAUUAGGGUUCAGUGACGUUGUGGGAUAUUUGUUCCGUUAGUAACAGAAAUAGGUUUUGUUUUGCUGUGCUGCGAUGGGAUGGGCGUGUGCUGCGUGCCGGUGCUGACAAAGGUACAGUAUUGUUGUGGCUCUGGUGCGUCGGGUUAAUGAACUGACAUGGUUUAAUGUAGAGAUGAAAAUAGAAAUAAAUAUACAUUUAAAAAUAAAUAUAACAUUAGAGUGGUAAACAUAAAUAUAGAUAACAGAUACAUACAUAAAACUAUAAUAUAUGGUAUAUAAUUGUAACAUGUUAUCAUAUAGAUAAAUGAUAGUCUAUUUUAUAUAUAUAUACACAAAGAUAUAUAAAUAUAGAUUGUAAAUAUAAAAAUAUUUAAAUAGAGUUAAAGUAAAUUGGGCAGUUUUAUUAGGGUAUAGGCUGGGGUUUUUAAA